GGUACCUACGGGGCGCAGCAGUGAGGAAUAUUGGUCAAUGGGCGCGAGCCUGAACCAGCCAAGUCGCGUGAGGGAUGACGGUCCUACGGAUUGUAAACCUCUUUUGCCGGGGAGCAAGCGUGCGUUCGUGAACGCGCGUCGAGAGUACCCGGAGAAAAAGCAUCGGCUAACUCCGUGCCAGCAGCCGCGGUAAUACGGAGGAUGCGAGCGUUAUCCGGAUUUAUUGGGUUUAAAGGGUGCGUAGGCGGAACAUUAAGUCAGCGGUAAAAUCGAGGGGCUCAACCCCUUUAAGCCGUUGAAACUGG
This 305-nucleotide ribosomal RNA is filed under the name uncultured bacterium. RNAcentral describes it as "bacterial SSU rRNA". It matches the Rfam family "Bacterial small subunit ribosomal RNA", at positions 334 to 636 of the family's 1533-position model. The record is from RNAcentral.